CAUCUAUGGAGAAGUCUACGGCAUCACAGUUUUUGGGAAAAAUUGAAAGAAAACGCUCUUUACAUGAAGAAUGUUAUGUGGAACAAUGUAAUUAUGAGGAAGUUCUGGAGGCUUAUGGAGACCGUAUAGCUGCUGAUGCUUACUGGAAACAAUUACAUGGAAAAUGAAUGUCAUCAAAAGUCUUAUUUUGGUGUCUACAAAUGUUUUUUUUUACUCAGAUGCAAUCAAGAAUCAUGUUAUAACUGAACUGCAUGCUGGGAUAUGAGAAGCAAACUAAAAAUGAAUAAAGAUUAUUUAA
Long non-coding RNA from Bombina bombina (fire-bellied toad), 298 nucleotides. RefSeq lists it as uncharacterized. The record is from RefSeq and is a predicted model, not a curated record. The transcript has 2 exons. Lineage: Eukaryota; Metazoa; Chordata; Amphibia; Anura; Bombinatoridae.